Molecule: long non-coding RNA, 1901 nt
Filed under: Gallus gallus (chicken)
Lineage: Eukaryota; Metazoa; Chordata; Aves; Galliformes; Phasianidae
Description: long non-coding RNA NONGGAT007237
Source: RNAcentral
GUUUCUCCCAAGAGAAUCACUGCCAAAGUAAACAAACAUCUUCAUGAAAGGAAAAUAAUGUCUGAGGAGCAUUCAGAAUUCCAUGUUUUACAGAAGAGUAUUUAUGGCAACCAACUAGUGAAUUAAAGUGAAAGAAAUCCCAUUACUAGUUUGCUGCUUCUGCUGUGCUAAUCGAAAGUGGCAAUUUCUGCUUGCUUCUCUGCGCUACAGUGCAGGGUCUCAGUAUAAGCUGUAAUUUAAAAUGAAGGAAAUUAUGAGAUGAAACUCUUUUUAGAAGCAGUGUUAUGUUGGGUUUGCUUUUAUUUUUCUUAAUUGUUGGUAAUUGUAUAGAGCUUCUGCAUGUAAAACUCAGGGGAACUGCUAUUGUCUCCAAAAUGUUCUGCGUGUGGUUGGCAAGAACAACAAGCACAGAAGAAAGUUCAGCUAAAAAAUUCAUAAAAGCUGCCUGGUGGAAUGCAUUGCAAUCAGCUGUACACCUUGGUGCUCUUAUCCCUCUGAACUGAUCAUUUUUAGCUGAGAUGAAACAUUCUGAGGAGCAGGAGCCUGGCAGAUUUGCGGCGUAGAUUGUUUGAAGGUUUAAACACUGUGACUAUCUCAUCUUACUGCAAGUCUGUAGAUAGAACAUAAGCUCAAGUUGCUGAAAAGUGAUAGAAUGGCUCUGUGUGCACAGCCUACAAAACUGUGAAGGGCUUAUUUUCUGUGUGCUUUCUGCGUUCCCUCCAGGAGAGCAGUAAUUCCCCAGUGGAGCAAGCACACUUUGCAUUUGUUGAGGAUGAGACUGUCUCUAGUCCUUUGUUUGGGCAGCGGCUUUCACAAAGGGGACCAGUACUCACUGGGAACUUGCCAGCACCAUCAUAUGUUUCAUGACAAAUGCUAAGUGUUCAGAAAGUUGGCACUACAAAAUAGAGAUACUGUUAAUCUCUGUUUAAUUCUCAAAAUGGCUUGUAGGAUUUUAAAGCUUGUGUUGUUGCUGGUGCACUCACCCAUCAGAUAGCAUUUUUAACAGCCCUUCUAAUAUGGCCGGUUAAUUUGGUUAUAUUACUAGGAUGUAAAACAAAAUGAUUCCUAGGAUAGAGAUUGCUAGAUUGCUAAGAUUUUACUGCCGUUUUUUUCCUAUCUGCUGCGUGCUGAAGAACAGUGUGUCCAGCCACAUGUAUUGCUGUAGUCAGACCAUGGUAUUUUCUCAUCUUCUUUCCCAUGUACAGCUCAGACACAGCUGCCGCUAUUUACCAAACACAAAGGUGUUUUUCACAGCUCAGAGAGGAGCGAGCUCAUAGAUCUUUGGAUACGUCUCCAGAGACAUGAUGAUUCCAGCGUCAGAAUAAUCUGCUCCAUAACGUGACCACAUUUAGGAGACCAGCUCCUGGGAGGAGACCCAAGGAGACAUCUUGAAAUUUCUGAGCAGAGAGGCUUUUGACACAGAGUUGGUGUACGCCGGAUGGCAUCCAGUUGGUAGCCUGCAUUGCUGGUGCAGCAGGAGGAAGCAAGCCUCUGACAAGAGCUAGAUAUGUCACCCUGCAGGACUGCACGGACAGCUUAAAUGGAGUGUAUGUUUGCACCUAAGCAGACUGUUAAGUAACAGAAGUGAGGUCAACAGCUCCAAGAGUGACUAUCGCAAUAUCCAGCAGCCAUAGCACUGACAUUGAGACUGGCUGGGCCAUGAGGUCAUGCUUCUGGGAGGAUGAAGAGGAAGGCCUGGAUGCACUGAGGAAGAGAGUUGAACUCAACUUUGCUAUACAGCAGAUGAAUAUUCACCCUGGUGUAUAUAUAUAUAUAAAUCUAUUUAUUUAAAAGCAAGUAAGUUCAACUUCUGAACAGUGCAUGGUAACUGUUAGGGAAGCUCUCUUUUUUUCUCCCACCCAUCUUCAUCCUCCUUUUAAACAUUCCUAACUUUGGUCGGG